GACGAACGCUGGCGGCGUGCUUAACACAUGCAAGUCGAGCGGUGCGGCGAACGGGAGAGUAACGCGAGAGUAACUGCCCCCCUCUCUGGGAUCGCAGUUGGAAACGGCUGCUAAUACCGGAUCGUGGGGGAUGUCUCGCGGCCUAUAAGCUUGUUGGUGGGGUGGUGGCCUACCACGGCGACGACGGGUAGCCGGCCUGAGAGGGCGAACGGCCACAUUGGGCUGAGAUACGGCCCAGACUCCUACGGGAGGCAGCAGUGGGGGAUAUUGCACAAUGGGCGCAAGCCUGAUGCAGCGACGCCGCGUGGGGGAUGAAGGCUUUCGGGUUGUAAACCUCUUUCGGUACAGAACAGGUAUGUGCAGAAGAAGCGCCGGCUAACUACGUGCCAGCAGCCGCGGUAAUAC
This 405-nucleotide ribosomal RNA is filed under the name uncultured bacterium. RNAcentral describes it as "partial 16S ribosomal RNA". It matches the Rfam family "Bacterial small subunit ribosomal RNA", at positions 28 to 526 of the family's 1533-position model. The record is from RNAcentral.